AUUGAACGCUGGCGGCAUGCCUUACACAUGCAAGUCGAACGGUAACGCGGGGCAACCUGGCGACGAGUGGCGAACGGGUGAGUAAUAUAUCGGAACGUGCCCAGUAGUGGGGAUAGCCCGGCGAAAGCCGGAUUAAUACCGCAUGAGACCUGAGGGUGAAAGCGGGGGAGUCGCAAGACCUCGCGCUAUUGGAGCGGCCGAUAUCAGAUUAGGUAGUUGGUGGGGUAAAGGCCUACCAAGCCGACGAUCUGUAGCUGGUCUGAGAGGACGACCAGCCACACUGGGACUGAGACACGGCCCAGACUCCUACGGGAGGCAGCAGUGGGGAAUUUUGGACAAUGGGCGCAAGCCUGAUCCAGCCAUGCCGCGUGCGGGAAGAAGGCCUCGGUUGUAA
This 394-nucleotide ribosomal RNA is filed under the name uncultured bacterium. RNAcentral describes it as "bacterial SSU rRNA". It matches the Rfam family "Bacterial small subunit ribosomal RNA", at positions 29 to 428 of the family's 1533-position model. The record is from RNAcentral.